Long non-coding RNA from Oncorhynchus tshawytscha (Chinook salmon), 1193 nucleotides. NCBI's taxonomy places the organism in Eukaryota, Metazoa, Chordata, Actinopteri, Salmoniformes, Salmonidae. The record is from Ensembl.
UAAAAAUGUGGGACAUUCCACAAGUCACAUGAUCAACAGGAAGUAGCAUCACUUGAGCAUCAUUUUUUUUUAAAAUUAGUUUUGGUAAACCACUUGAAGGUGCUAAAUGUUCUCAUGCUAUUAGCAUUGAUGCAAUGUGGCUACAUUUCAUGCAUUUGCUAAUGCUAUGCUGAAAACUCAGGCUAAAUAUGAAGGGUAACAGGACUGAAUACGAGUAACAGGAGUGAGAGGUUCGAAUGAAAUAGCCAUUUGAAAUUUGGAUCUGGGAGCCAACCCGACUAAGCGCUGCGGAGAAGCAGCGGCGCUCUCGCGUUCGACGCGAUGCCGUGCCCAGAGAGGAGAGAGAGAUACUUCAAAAAGGAACAGCAGAAAUACUGGGAGGACAUAGCAUCAGGCAGGAAGUGGAGAGAGACUUACGACAGGAUCAAGUCCAGGAAAGUAGCCCUAAAGCACUUCACCACACCUCCAGAGAGCCCCCGGCUUUCACCAGACAGAGCUGAUAAUCCAGAGCCAAGCACUUCCGGGUCAGGAUGAGAGUUAAGCUCUAGUGCCAAACUAGAGACUUUCUAAGAAAAGAGGAAGAUGGAGAACCCAUACUGUGCAGAGGCAGGAGCCAGACACACAUGCUGCAGGGGGAGGAGCGAUACUCACACCUUCUCUCUCUUUCCCUCUCUCCACCGCCCACCCCACCCCGCACACACAAGCACGCACUCACAUACAUGCACACACACUCAUGGAAAAGCACGCACACACACUCAUGCAAAAGCACGCACACACACUCAAUGCGAAAGCACUCACACACACUCAAGCAAAAGCAUGCACACACAAUUGUUACUGCUUUUAUAUUGUUAUUUAGACUAAGAUCUUUUUUUUUGCCAAAUAUAAUGACCUCUGUUUUAUCUUUGUUUAAUUUAAGGAAAUUCUGUGACAUCCAGUUAUUCUCACACACACCAGCACUCAUUCCUGUUACUCAGUGCUCAUUCCUGUUACUCAGUGCUCAUUCCUGUUACUCAGUGCUCAUUCCUGUUACUCAGUGCUCAUUCCUGUUACUCAGUGCUCAUUCCUGUUACUCAGCGCUCAUUCCUGUUACUCAGUGCUCAUUCCUGUUACUCAGUGCUCAUUCCUGUUACUCAGUGCUCAUUCCUGUUACUCAGCACUCAUUCCUGUUACUCAGCGCUCAUUCCUGUUACUCA